UUUGAUGGCGACCGGCGCACGGGUGAGUAACACGUAUCCAACCUGCCGAUGACUCGGGGAUAGCCUUUCGAAAGAAAGAUUAAUACCCGAUGGCAUAGUUCUUCCGCAUGGUAGAACUAUUAAAGAAUUUCGGUCAUCGAUGGGGAUGCGUUCCAUUAGGUUGUUGGCGGGGUAACGGCCCACCAAGCCUUCGAUGGAUAGGGGUUCUGAGAGGAAGGUCCCCCACAUUGGAACUGAGACACGGUUCAA
RNAcentral lists this ribosomal RNA (249 nucleotides) under uncultured bacterium. Its description in RNAcentral is "partial 16S ribosomal RNA". It matches the Rfam family "Bacterial small subunit ribosomal RNA", at positions 84 to 334 of the family's 1533-position model. The record is from RNAcentral.